GCGGGCGUGGCUCAAUGGUAGAGCGCAAGCCUUCCAAGCUUGACACGCGGGUUCGAUUCCCGCCGCCCGCUCCA
This 74-nucleotide transfer RNA is filed under the name Bacillota bacterium. RNAcentral's name for it is "tRNA-Gly". It matches the Rfam family "tRNA". Rfam says of the family: Transfer RNA (tRNA) molecules are approximately 80 nucleotides in length. Their secondary structure includes four short double-helical elements and three loops (D, anti-codon, and T loops). The record is from RNAcentral. Lineage: Bacteria; Bacillati; Bacillota.